UUGUUGUUAGAUUGUAUUAGCGGCAUGACUAUCUCGCACUCACGCAGGGAUACGAACACUUGUUUUUAGCCGUUGGAAAGGUAAACAGUAGAGCGUAAAGAAUUAAAUUUGAAAAGUGAAAAUUAAUAACUAAUGUUGGCAGAUGAUUUUCGGGAGUAGGUAUGAAAUUCCAUGAGCUACCAGUUGAUUAAGACUACAAACUCAAGUCCGUAAUGCAGUGCUAGCUUGUACGAAGUCCUAACAAAAACGGACACCAGCGCCUCGGCAUUCUCCAGCAGCGGCUUGAUCAGGUCCCACGAUCUCCCGGUGUCCACAAUCCCGUGAAUCUCGUUGUGGAAGUCGAUGGGGAUCUCGAGGAAGAAGGCCGUCGACUCGUACACUUGGAAGAGGGGGAGCUUGAACCGGUACUCCAGCUGUGAGGGAAGGAAAGCGUGAUCGUCCUCCUCUUCCUGGGCUUGGCAACGAGGGCGGUGCUGUUGACGUCAUCCGCGUGACGCUCCGCCCUCAGCAGACUUCGGGGCUGGAGCGAAGGGACGUCACUGAAGUCCAGC
Penaeus vannamei (Pacific white shrimp) is the source of this 551-nucleotide long non-coding RNA. RefSeq lists it as uncharacterized. NCBI's taxonomy places the organism in Eukaryota, Metazoa, Arthropoda, Malacostraca, Decapoda, Penaeidae. The record is from RefSeq and is a predicted model, not a curated record.